UCCCUGGUGGUCUAGAGGUUAGGACUUGACGCUUUCACUGCUGUGACCCAGGUUCAAUCCCUGGCCUAGGAA
This 72-nucleotide transfer RNA is filed under the name Sus scrofa (pig). It matches the Rfam family "tRNA". Rfam says of the family: Transfer RNA (tRNA) molecules are approximately 80 nucleotides in length. Lineage: Eukaryota; Metazoa; Chordata; Mammalia; Artiodactyla; Suidae. The record is from Rfam by way of RNAcentral.